This 469-nucleotide ribosomal RNA is filed under the name uncultured bacterium. RNAcentral's name for it is "partial 16S ribosomal RNA". It matches the Rfam family "Bacterial small subunit ribosomal RNA", at positions 28 to 507 of the family's 1533-position model. The record is from RNAcentral.
GACGAACGCUGGCGGCGUGCUUAACACAUGCAAGUCGAACGGUGAAGCGAGUGCUUGCACUCGUGGAUCAGUGGCGAACGGGUGAGUAACACGUGAGUAACCUGCCCAUCACUCUGGGAUAAGCACAGGAAACGGUGUCUAAUACUGGAUACGACCAACCCUUGCAUGGGGUGUUGGUGGAAAGAUUUAUCGGUGAUGGAUGGACUCGCGGCCUAUCAGCUUGUUGGCGGGGUAAUGGCCCACCAAGGCGACGACGGGUAGCCGGCCUGAGAGGGUGACCGGCCACACUGGGACUGAGACACGGCCCAGACUCCUACGGGAGGCAGCAGUGGGGAAUAUUGCACAAUGGGCGAAAGCCUGAUGCAGCGACGCCGCGUGAGGGAUGACGGCCUUCGGGUUGUAAACCUCUUUCAGCAGGGAAGAAGCGAAAGUGACGGUACCUGCAGAAGAAGCACCGGCUAACUACGUG